GUGAAGUGAUGAAUCAGUUUAUCCAUUCGCUGAGCAGCGGCGUCAUGUCAAAGUCUGCGCCUCUGCUCCCGUUCUGGGGGCGGGGCUUCUCCGCUGCGGUGAUGGCGGCGUCCUGGCGUUCUGCCGGGCGACGACCCGAACCGCACGGAGAGAAGGACUCGACUCGACCGCCGCCGAGACGACUUCCUGUUCUGAUCAC
Thunnus maccoyii (southern bluefin tuna) is the source of this 199-nucleotide small nucleolar RNA. RefSeq annotates it as small nucleolar RNA SNORD17. NCBI's taxonomy places the organism in Eukaryota, Metazoa, Chordata, Actinopteri, Scombriformes, Scombridae. The transcript has a single exon. The record is from RefSeq and is a predicted model, not a curated record.